CGUACACAAAAAUGCACAUAUUGUGAGCUCGAUGAGUAGGGCGGGACACGUGGUAUCCUGUCUGAAUAUGGGGGGACCAUCCUCCAAGGCUAAAUACUCCUGACUGACCGAUAGUGAACCAGUACCGUGAGGGAAAGGCGAAAAGAACCCCGGCGAGGGGAGUGAAAAAGAACCUGAAACCGUGUACGUACAAGCAGUGGGAGCCUCUUAAUGGGGUGACUGCGUACCUUUUGUAUAAUGGGUCAGCGACUUAUAUUCUGUAGCAAGGUUAACCGAAUAGGGGAGCCGAAGGGAAACCGAGUCUUAACUGGGCGUUAAGUUGCAGGGUAUAGACCCGAAACCCGGUGAUCUAGCCAUGGGCAGGUUGAAGGUUGGGUAACACUAACUGGAGGACCGAACCGACUAAUGUUGAAAAAUUAGCGGAUGACUUGUGGCUGGGGGUGAAAGGCCAAUCAAACCGGGAGAUAGCUGGUUCUCCCCGAAAGCUAUUUAGGUAGCGCCUCGUGAAUUCAUCUCCGGGGGUAGAGCACUGUUUCGGCAAGGGGGUCAUCCCGACUUACCAACCCGAUGCAAACUGCGAAUACCGGAGAAUGUUAUCACGGGAGACACACGGCGGGUGCUAACGUCCGUCGUGAAGAGGGAAACAACCCAGACCGCCAGCUAAGGUCCCAAAGUCAUGGUUAAGUGGGAAACGAUGUGGGAAGGCCCAGACAGCCAGGAUGUUGGCUUAGAAGCAGCCAUCAUUUAAAGAAAGCGUAAUAGCUCACUGGUCGAGUCGGCCUGCGCGGAAGAUGUAACGGGGCUAAACCAUGCACCGAAGCUGCGGCAGCGACGCUUAUGCGUUGUUGGGUA
Molecule: ribosomal RNA, 852 nt
Filed under: Escherichia coli
Lineage: Bacteria; Pseudomonadati; Pseudomonadota; Gammaproteobacteria; Enterobacterales; Enterobacteriaceae
Description: partial 23S ribosomal RNA
Rfam family: Bacterial large subunit ribosomal RNA
Source: RNAcentral